GUCUUGGUGCCAGAUACCACAGCACACCUUCAGAGUCUUCUGGAGUCCAUGCCUUGACGGGUCAGAGCUGUUUCGGUGGCACAAGCAGGACCUACACAAUAUUAGGCAGGUGGUUUUAAUGUUAUGGCUGAUUGGUGUAUAUGACAGAGCUUAUUGUCUGUGCAAUGCCUUUAUUGCACAUAACCGCACUCAACAUUCAUCCCCUAGUUUAAAACUAAUGACUUCUAUAUGAAAUUUUAUCUGUAACCAUUUCUAGUAGCAUCAUAUCUGUGAUAAUAUGGACUACAUUUAUAAGAAUUAUGUUUACAUAAUAUGUCUUCAAAGACAAUAAACUGAGACUCUGUUAGCUAGCUAAUAUUACAUAACUAACUAAACUUCUGGUCAUAUUGCCUUAAUAUUGACAGUGUAGGGUCCUUCUUAAGGGCUUGAUAGUGGGUCAGUACCAGUCCUGAAUUUGAACUUACAACCUUCUGAUCACUGGGAGCUGUGAGGACUUUAAACACCCCCCUCCCUAUUUUUUUUUUUAAUAAGAGCAUCAGUGUGCUGUAUAUUCAAAAAGCACUUGUCCUACCAUCAUUAUGAACCCUGUGGUGCACUUUACAUUGUAAAUAUUUACAACAUUAAAACCUAAUACUGAAAAAAAAAAAUCGUCUACACCAAGUGCUUGACAUGCAGCUAGUGUGUACUUCAAAAUACUGCAGCGACACACAGCCACUGUUAAGUCUGGUUUAAAUAAGUGUGACAGGACAAACAGCACUUCCUAACAGGCCUUACGAAUUAGCAUAGGCACACGGCCACAAUCUUUUUAUGUCCUGGUUACAGCAGGGACUCCAGCUGGCAUUGAAAACAGGAUUGGAGAAAGAAACUGCUGCGUCUGGAAAGUGCAUCUGUUCCAUGGGCAUUUCUCUCAAAGCUUCACGGGUACUAAAGCCUCUCGCAGCCCUAAGCAACGUUCUGUCAAAUACAUCCGCUAGCAUCAUAUAAAUCUAUUUUCCUGUACAGAGCAUUUCCACAUCCCUCCUUCAUCACAGUCUGCUGCGAGUAAACCACAUACUGUAGCACAAUCGUCAGCUUGUUAGUUAGCUAGCUAAACUGCAGAAUAGGAUACUGAAUAUGUACGAUGAUCACUAACUCUUUAGUAUAUUGUGAGGUUUACUAGACAACAGUCUAAACUUAUCUAGCUAGCCAAUUCCUAUCUAUUUAGCUAGCAGGUCAUCAACCCAGAAUACUGUCGCAUCUUAAAUUCUUCAAUUUAUGCCACUGGGAAUCGAACAAAUUCCACACAGCCAGUUUAUUCGACUUUAGUUUGCACUCAGCCAAAAAUAAAGUGAGAGAAGGAGAUAUUAUUGUUAUCUAACAAAUACAUCAGCACUCUGGCAUAAAGUUCAUUUGCCACAAAAAUUUGACUUACAAUGAACCAAUAUCGCCAAUGCUAGAGGCAGCGUACAGGCUUAUCUAACAUUAACUAACUAUGACAGAUCAUAUCAGUGAGCAUGCCUUUGAAUCCAUACUGUAUAAUGUAUUUUGAUAUUGUAGUGUAGAUUUGUUUGCACUCAAAGUUUGUUUGUUUUUUUAAUAUUGGUCACGUUAUCCAAUAUUAGUCACGCCAACCAUCAGCAGUGAAGGUUAUGGACAUUUAUACAGAUAUUAUUUUAAAAUCCUGUCAGGUUAGCUGAUGUUAGAUAUAUACGUAACUAUUGUUAGCAGUGAAGAUCAUGAACAUUUAUGAAUAGGACUUAAAUAUCCUGUCGGAAAUCCUGAAAUAUUAGCUUGCUAGCUAGCAAGCUAGCAGGCUAGCGCUAGAAGUGAAGAUCCUUACAAAUCUUAAAAAUCCUGUCAGGUUAGCUGAAGUUAGUUAAAUAGCUAUUUAUAGACGUGAAGAUCAUGAAACUGUAGACUUAAAUACCUUGCCAGAAAUCCUGUCAAAUUAGCUAGCUGUCUAGCACUAGCAAUAAAGAUUAUGAUCAUUUAUAUAUGAUUUAAAAAUCCUCCUAAGAACCUGUCAGGUUAGCUCAUAUUAGUCAUAUAGCUGUUGUCAGUUCUUGUUAGUUAUAUAGCUAUUGUUAGUAGCUAGGUAACAUGAAUAUGUCUGAACAGCUAAGUAGGUUCUGCUAAUGUCCGAUGAGUACCAAGUAAUUUGGAGAGCUGAUGUUGGAUGGAUAAAAUAUUAGCUUUGAUUUGUCCAGACCAACAACUCAUGGUCAAGAACAUGCAGACUGAAUAAAUGUGCAGAAGUUCCAUUGUUUCACAAUAACAGGAAGUGGACUCUUAAUGUUAUGGAAUCAAACAGUGCUGCAUGUUGACUAGCAAGUUAAUGUUAGCGUUCCCACUCCAUUUUGGUAGCUAACAGCAACUAGCAAGCAGAUUAAGUGUUUUCAUGUUUCAGGAACAAUCCAUGUAACUUUUAUGAAGAUUUCUACCGUGGUUAUGAGAGACGACACGUAGCUGUAUUGUUGUUGUCUCACUAUCAAGUCACUUUUUCUUUACUCUGCACCUGAUGGCACUGCUGAGAUGCUAGCUCUAACACUAGCUCUGUACAGAUAAUGGGGGGGAAAACUACAAUGACACCGUCACACACAGACUUCACAGUUUUGAUUCAUGAGAAGUCGAUCAGUCACGCUUUAGAAAUUUAUCAGGCCUUUUACACACUUUUCUAACUAAUAAAUAACAAUUCAUGACUUCAUUAUGGGCAAAUUUGCAUUAUAUCAAAUAAAGGAAGGAAUGCCACUGGGCUAAGUAUAAUUUUCUAGAAUUCGCUCAUGCUGAUUUUGCCAGGUGACCAAAAAAAAAAAAGGGUGGAGCUUACAUAAAAUGUAAAUCAGCCAAUCACAAACUUGAUCGAGUGACAUCACCACAACAGUUUAGCUAACAAACAAAUGUUGCUACUUAUUUUAAAUAAACAAUUGCGACUGUUUAUUAGUCAGUCAGCCUGCAAGUAUGUUAGAUAACUGGAAGGCUGGCAGCGUUGUGCUACACUGUGGUAGCAGGCUAGCUUUGCUAAUGUUGCUAUCCUAUUAUCUUGUGUAAACAAACGGUAAUUUAUGUGAACG
Long non-coding RNA from Ictalurus punctatus (channel catfish), 3050 nucleotides. Lineage: Eukaryota; Metazoa; Chordata; Actinopteri; Siluriformes; Ictaluridae. The record is from Ensembl.